GGUUAAGCUACUAAGAGCACACGGAGGAUGCCUAGGCGCUAGGAGCCGAUGAAGGACGUGGCGAACGACGAAAUGGCCUCGGGGAGCUGUAAGCAAGCUUUGAUCCGGGGAUGUCCGAAUGGGGAAACCCGGCUGGUGUAAUAACCAGUCACUCACAGCUGAAUACAUAGGUUGUGAAGAGGCAUACCCAGGGAACUGAAACAUCUAAGUACCUGGAGGAAGAGAAAACAAGAGUGAUUCCGUCAGUAGCGGCGAGCGAACGCGGAACAGCCUAAACCGAAGAGCUUGCUCUUCGGGGUUGUGGGACGUCUCACAUGGAGUUACAAAGGUUUAGAUUAGUUGAACAGGUCUGGAAAGGCCGGCCAUAGAAGGUAAAAGCCCUGUAGUCGAAAAUGUGAACCCUCCGAGACGGAUCCCGAGUAGUGCGGGGCACGUGAAACCCCGUAUGAAUCUGCCAGGACCAUCUGGUAAGGCUAAAUACUCCCUAGCGACCGAUAGUGAAGCAGUACCGUGAGGGAAAGGUGAAAAGCACCCCGGGAGGGGAGUGAAAUAGAACCUGAAACCGUGUGCUUACAAGAAGUCAGAGCCCGUUCAAUGGGUGAUGGCGUGCCUUUUGUAGAAUGAACCGGCGAGUUACGUUCCCAUGCAAGGUUAAGGCGAGAAGCCGUAGCCGCAGCGAAAGCGAGUCUGAAUAGGGCGAAUUAGUAUGUGGGCGUAGACCCGAAACCGUGUGAUCUACCCCUGUCCAGGGUGAAGGUGCGGUAACACGCACUGGAGGCCCGAACCCACGUACGUUGAAAAGUGCGGGGAUGAGGUGGGGGUAGCGGAGAAAUUCCAAUCGAACUCGGAGAUAGCUGGUUCUCCCCGAAAUAGCUUUAGGGCUAGCCUCGGAAUAAAGAGUCAUGGAGGUAGAGCACUGAUUGGGUGCGGGGCCCGCAAGGGUUACCAAGCUCAGUCAAACUCCGAAUGCCAUCGACUUAUGUCCGGGAGUCAGACAGUGAGUGCUAAGAUCCAUUGUCAAAAGGGAAACAGCCCAGACCAUCAGCUAAGGUCCCCAAGUGUGUGUUAAGUGGGAAAGGAUGUGGAGUUGCACAGACAACCAGGAUGUUGGCUUAGAAGCAGCCACCAUUUAAAGAGUGCGUAAUAGCUCACUGGUCGAGUGACUCUGCGCCGAAAAUGUAACGGGGCUAAACACACCACCGAAGCUAUGGCUUGAU
This 1217-nucleotide ribosomal RNA is filed under the name Paenibacillus campinasensis. RNAcentral's name for it is "bacterial LSU rRNA". It matches the Rfam family "Bacterial large subunit ribosomal RNA", at positions 1 to 1211 of the family's 2925-position model. Lineage: Bacteria; Bacillati; Bacillota; Bacilli; Caryophanales; Paenibacillaceae. The record is from RNAcentral.